AGGGAAUCUUCCGCAAUGGACGAAAGUCUGACGGAGCAACGCCGCGUGAGUGAUGAAGGUUUUCGGAUCGUAAAGCUCUGUUGCCAGGGAAGAACGUCUUCUGGAGUAACUGCCAGGAGAGUGACGGUACCUGAGAAGAAAGCCACGGCUAACUACGUGCCAGCAGCCGCGGUAAUACGUAGGGGGCAAGCGUUGUCCGGAAUUAUUGGGCGUAAAGCGCGCGCAGGCGGCUGUUUAAGUCUGGUGUUUAAGCCUGGGGCUCAACCCCGGGUCGCACUGGAAACUGGACAGCUUGAGUGCAGAAGAGGAGAGUGGAAUUCCACGUGUAGCGGUGAAAUGCGUAGAGAUGUGGAGGAACACCAGUGGCGAAGGCGACUCUCUGGGCUGUAACUGGCGCUGAGGCGCGAAAGCGUGGGGAGCAAAC
Molecule: ribosomal RNA, 424 nt
Filed under: uncultured bacterium
Lineage: Bacteria
Description: bacterial SSU rRNA
Rfam family: Bacterial small subunit ribosomal RNA
Source: RNAcentral